GUUGAACGCUGGCGGCGUGCUUAACACAUGCAAGUCGAACGAAGCAUUUAAGACAGAUUACUUCGGUUUGAAGUCUUUUAUGACUGAGUGGCGGACGGGUGAGUAACGCGUGGGUAACCUGCCUCAUACAGGGGGAUAGCAGCUGGAAACGGCUGGUAAUACCGCAUAAGCGCACAGUACCACAUGGUACAGUGUGAAAAACUCCGGUGGUAUGAGAUGGACCCGCGUCUGAUUAGCUUGUUGGCGGGGUAACGGCCCACCAAGGCGACGAUCAGUAGCCGACCUGAGAGGGUGACCGGCCACAUUGGGACUGAGACACGGCCCAGACUCCUACGGGAGGCAGCAGUGGGGAAUAUUGCACAAUGGAGGAAACUCUGAUGCAGCGACGCCGCAUGAGUGAAGAAGUAGUUCGCUAUGUAAAGCUCUAUCAGCAGGGAAGAUAGUGACGGUACCUGACUAAGAAGCUCCGGCUAAAUACGUG
This 481-nucleotide ribosomal RNA is filed under the name uncultured bacterium. Its description in RNAcentral is "partial 16S ribosomal RNA". It matches the Rfam family "Bacterial small subunit ribosomal RNA", at positions 28 to 507 of the family's 1533-position model. The record is from RNAcentral.